CCUACGGGUGGCAGCAGUGGGGAAUAUUGCACAAUGGGGGAAACCCUGAUGCAGCGACGCCGCGUGAGUGAAGAAGUAUUUCGGUACGUAAAGCUCUAUCAGCAGGGAAGAAAAUGACAGUACCUGACUAUUAACCUCCGGCUAACUCCGUUCCAGCAGCCGCGGUACUACGUAGGGGGCAAGCGUUCUCCGGAUUUACUGGGUGUACAGGGAGCGUAGGCGGCAGGGCAAGUCUGGAGUGAAAUCCCUUGGCUUAACCAUGGAACUGCUUUGGAAACUGGGAGGCUGGAGUGCAGGAGAGGUAAGUGGAAUUCCUAGUGUAGCGGUGAAAUGCGUAGAUAUUAGGAGGAACACCAGUGGCGAAGGCGGCUUACUGGACUGUAACUGACGUUGAGGCUCGAAAGCGUGGGGAGCAAACAGGAUUAGAUACCCCAGUAGUC
This 440-nucleotide ribosomal RNA is filed under the name uncultured bacterium. RNAcentral's name for it is "partial 16S ribosomal RNA". It matches the Rfam family "Bacterial small subunit ribosomal RNA", at positions 338 to 795 of the family's 1533-position model. The record is from RNAcentral.